AGUGAACGCUGGCGGUAGGCCUAACACAUGCAAGUCGAACGGCAGCACAGAGGAGCUUGCUCUCUGGGUGGCGAGUGGCGGACGGGUGAGGAAUACAUCGGAAUCUACUUUUUCGUGGGGGAUAACGUAGGGAAACUUACGCUAAUACCGCAUACGACCUACGGGUGAAAGCAGGGGACCUUCGGGCCUUGCGCGAUUGAAUGAGCCGAUGUCGGAUAGCUAGUUGGCGGGGUAAAGGCCCACCAAGGCGACGAUCCGUAGCUGGUCUGAGAGGAUGAUCAGCCACACUGGAACUGAGACACGGUCCAGACUCCUACGGGAGGCAGCAGUGGGGAAUAUUGGACAAUGGGCGCAAGCCUGAUCCAGCCAUACCGCGUGGGUGAAGAAGGCUUUCGGGUUGUAAAGCCCUUUUGUUGGGAAAGAAAUCCAGCUGGCUAAUACCCGGUUGGGAUGACGGUACCCAAAGAAUAAGCACCGGCUAACUUCGUGCCAGCCGCCGCAGUAA
This 505-nucleotide ribosomal RNA is filed under the name uncultured bacterium. Its description in RNAcentral is "partial 16S ribosomal RNA". It matches the Rfam family "Bacterial small subunit ribosomal RNA", at positions 29 to 523 of the family's 1533-position model. The record is from RNAcentral.